AAGAAAAAAGAAAAAAGAAAAAAUGAAGCAUAUCGCCCUUCAAUCCAUUAGCCUUCUCAAAGAAGUCCCCCCAAAAGCAAUUUUUUUCGUUAAUUAAAUUUUAUUUAUACACCAAUAUCUAUGCAUACUUUUAUAAAAUAAUAAAAAUCGAAUAUACGUAUAUAUACGCACAUAUAUAUUGUAUGUAUUUUCCGGAUCUGAGAGUCGUCGGAACCCAUCGGCGCUAAAACCUGAAUUUUCCCUCUCUCGACAACCCUAAAACACCUCCGCCGAGCCAUUUUUCUUUCUUUCUCUGGAAUCCUUGAUCUUUCUGUGUGUAUAUAUAGAAACACUUGUAUUCAUUUGUUUAUCUAUUUCUGAACAGCGAAAGUUGGAAUUUUCUCAUUUCUUGAAAAUCAAAGAGAUUUUAGCUUGUGAGUUUGAAUAUUUUGUCAUUUAAUACUUCUGCAUGUGGAAAUCAUUUUUAUUUUAUUUUAUUGUGAGCUCGUGCAUGUGUUUUUGGGUUAGAGUUUAGCUGUUAGUUGUUUUUGUUGGUGGAAAAAAAAUGAUCUUCUAACCUUUUUUUCCUUUAUUUUGUUGCUCGCGUGUUUUUAAGAAUUUUCUGUAAUUAUAGUGUGUAAGGUUUUGGACUUGGUAAGUUUAGAGCCGUGCUUGUUACUUGGAAACUUAAGCCAGAACAAAAACUAUUCAACAUUUCUCGCAUUUAAAUAAAUGGGCCUUUUGUAUUUUUAUUUUCUGAGGGUUUAUGGAUUUAUGAACCUCAAUUUGAUGAACUCAUUGUUUUGUGGAAGUAGAGUAAUCUUUUUCUUGUAUUUUUUAGAACUUACGGUACAUUUACCUUCACCUUCACUAUAUAAUGGGAUCGGGUAAUAUUACAAAUUUCUUGGAUUCUUCUAGUUUAAUUACUGUCAGCUUUUCGGCAUUGCUUUGCUUUUCUUUUUGAAGGAGCAAUUUUGUCCCAAUAAAUUUGUUAACACUUCUGGUGAAGCAAUUUUGAACUGUACAAGCAAAGGGAAUGAACUGGGGCAUUUAAGUUGCAUUUUCUCUCUUGAGAAAUGCCCUGCCAAAUUAAGUUGCUUUUGUAAGGUUAUUUAAACAUGAGAAAGGUUAAUAGGCCUGGUACCUUUUGCACCCUUCAGUUAGUUUUUGUAGUGAUGAACAAUUGAAAAAAAGACACUUCACAAGCAGGCAGCUGGCAGAGAGAGAGAGAGAGAGAGAGAGAGAGAGAGAGAGNG
RNAcentral lists this long non-coding RNA (1235 nucleotides) under Olea europaea (common olive). Its description in RNAcentral is "long non-coding RNA (OEUR_LNC013257)". The record is from RNAcentral. Lineage: Eukaryota; Viridiplantae; Streptophyta; Magnoliopsida; Lamiales; Oleaceae.